This is a long non-coding RNA of Ostrea edulis (European flat oyster), 176 nucleotides long. RefSeq lists it as uncharacterized. Lineage: Eukaryota; Metazoa; Mollusca; Bivalvia; Ostreida; Ostreidae. The record is from RefSeq and is a predicted model, not a curated record. The transcript is spliced from 3 exons.
GUCUUUUAAAACCAAUGUGCACAGGUUCAAGACCGUGAAACGACACAAAUAUAUCUGAGGGACAACACUUUGCAGAUAAUUUCAGAACAAGACAGGAGCAAAUACUGCAAAGAGAGAAUGAACAGAUGAUUAGAAUGUUGCAGUGCAAAUCGUGUAACGCUUCUCGAGCGACGCGA